This 458-nucleotide ribosomal RNA is filed under the name uncultured prokaryote. RNAcentral's name for it is "bacterial SSU rRNA". It matches the Rfam family "Bacterial small subunit ribosomal RNA", at positions 342 to 791 of the family's 1533-position model. The record is from RNAcentral.
CGGGGGGCAGCAGUGGGGAAUCUUGCGCAAUGGGCGAAAGCCUGACGCAGCGACGCCGCGUGGGCGAAGAAGGCCUUCGGGUUGUAAAGCCCUGUGGGGGAGAACGAACCGUACGGGGGCUAAUACCCUUCGUACCUGACGGUACUCUUUUAGCAAGCAUCGGCUAACUCUGUGCCAGCAGCCGCGGUAAGACAGAGGAUGCAAACGUUGCUCGGAAUUACUGGGCGUAAAGCGCGUGUAGGCGGUCUGAUAAGUCGGACGUGAAAUCCCGGGGCUCAACCCCGGAAGGGCGUUCGAUACUGCCAGACUUGGGUUCUGAAGAGGAGAGCGGAAUUCCCGGUGUAGAGGUGAAAUUCGUAGAUAUCGGGAGGAACACCAGUGGCGAAGGCGGCUCUCUGGGCAGAUACCGACGCUGAGACGCGAAAGCGUGGGAAGCAAACAGGAUUAGAUACCCGAGU